UACGUAGGAGGCGAGCGUUGUCCGGAAUUACUGGGCGUAAAGAGCGCGUAGGCGGCUACUGUACGACCGCUGUGAAAGCCCCCGGCUCAACUGGGGAGGGUCAGUGGUAACGGCAGAGCUUGAGUGCAGGAGGAGGGAAGUGGAACUCCGGGAGUAGCGGUGAAAUGCGUAGAGAUCCGGAGGAACACCAGUGGCGCAGGCGGCUCUCCUGGGAACGGUACUGACGCUGAGACGCGAAAGCGUGGGGAGCGAACAGG
RNAcentral lists this ribosomal RNA (257 nucleotides) under uncultured bacterium. RNAcentral describes it as "partial 16S ribosomal RNA". It matches the Rfam family "Bacterial small subunit ribosomal RNA", at positions 524 to 776 of the family's 1533-position model. The record is from RNAcentral.